RNAcentral lists this unclassified non-coding RNA (175 nucleotides) under uncultured Ascomycota. RNAcentral describes it as "sequence contains ITS2". The record is from RNAcentral. Lineage: Eukaryota; Fungi; Ascomycota.
CUCUCUUAAACCUUUGGGUUUAGUGUUGGAAGAGGUGGGCAACUACCCUUCUGAAAUGACUAGGCGGUAACCCUAGGACUUAUUUUCCUGGACUGGCUUUAAUAUUAGGUUCUACCACUUAUUAAAUACCCUUUCUAGGUUGUUCUUUGGAAGUCGCCGAAACAAAAUUUACAAA